RNAcentral lists this ribosomal RNA (886 nucleotides) under Eurylasma sp. 2 BKKC-2017. RNAcentral's name for it is "partial 16S ribosomal RNA". The stretch from base 390 to 630 matches the Rfam family "Archaeal large subunit ribosomal RNA", at positions 1787 to 2143 of the family's 2987-position model. The record is from RNAcentral. Lineage: Eukaryota; Metazoa; Arthropoda; Thecostraca; Balanomorpha; Pachylasmatidae.
AAUCUCGAAAAUAAAAGAUUUAAAUAAUUUUUUUAGUUUUUGUUUCAAUAAAAUUAAUCAAAUUUAUUUAGGGGUGAAAUGCCAGUCGAUUUUAUUUAUAUCUAGUAACUUUGGAAAUAAAUUUAGUUUGGGAUAUUAAGAGUUUCUUAAUUUUUUUAUAUUUAUAUAUUUUAGGGGAUGAGCUCUAAAAUAAAUUUACAAGAAUAGAUUUGUAGGUUUUUAUAUUAAGCUUAGAACUAGCUACUGGAUAAUGUUAUAAAACAGAAAAUUUCAGGUUAUGAUUUAAAUUUUUCUUUCAAAGAAACAAAGUUAUUAAAGAUAAUGAAAAUUUUUAAGAAUAAAUGAUAGUAUUAGUAGAAAUUAAUAUAAAAUUUCCUUAAAUUAAUUUAUUUAGAAAUAAUAUUAAAAGAAUUCGGCAAAUUAGAUUUCCGAAUGUUUAACAAAAACAUUUCUUCUUAGUAUAAGAAGUAAGACCUGCUCACUGAGUAUUUAAAGAGCCGCAGUAUUUUGACUGUGCUAAGGUAGCAUAAUCAUUAGUCUUUUAAUUAAGGACUGGUAUGAAGGGUUAAACGAGAAAUCAACUUUUUUUAAUAUAUAAAUUGAAUUUAACUUUUUAGUGAAAAGGCUAAAAUAAUUUAGAAAGACGAGAAGACCCUAUAGAGUUUAAUAUAUAAAAUAUUUACAUUUUUAUUAGAUUUAUAAAAAUAUGUAUUUAUAAUAUAUAUUUUGUUGGGGCGACAUUAAGAUAAGAGAAACUCUUUAUUUUUGAAACUUUUAUAAAAGAAUGAAGUUUGAUCCUUUAAAAAAGAUCAUAAGAAAAAAUUACCUUAGGGAUAACAGCGUAAUCUUUUUUGAGAGUUCUAAUCGACAAAAAGGUUUGCGACCU